This is a long non-coding RNA of Myotis myotis, 339 nucleotides long. RefSeq lists it as uncharacterized. The record is from RefSeq and is a predicted model, not a curated record. The transcript is spliced from 2 exons. Lineage: Eukaryota; Metazoa; Chordata; Mammalia; Chiroptera; Vespertilionidae.
ACGGCAGUUUGGAUUUCCGGCGGGAACGCACACAGACCCAGAGAGGGGAGCCGGGGCUGGAAGCCCGGAGCAAUUACUUGGCUGCUUCAUGAGAACCAAGGCGCCCCGCCUUUCCAGUUGAUCGCAGGAAGAAAAAAGAAUUCAGUCCUUUUUAACUGGCUACGUGCAAAGCAAGUUUGUUGACAGCAUUCACACAAUUGACAGGUCAGCAUUAACACAAUUGACCUGGAAUUCGUUGCAGCAAACACUGCUUUUUCACAUCUUUCCAUCUGCUUGCGAAGUGAAAGUAACUGUAUCUUGAAUUUUCACAAAUAAAGAAUUGACUGUACAUUUCGGAAA